RNAcentral lists this ribosomal RNA (486 nucleotides) under uncultured bacterium. Its description in RNAcentral is "bacterial SSU rRNA". It matches the Rfam family "Bacterial small subunit ribosomal RNA", at positions 28 to 507 of the family's 1533-position model. The record is from RNAcentral.
GAUGAACGCUAGCGGCAGGCCUAACACAUGCAAGUCGAGGGUGACAUAGAAAAGCUUGCCUUUCUGAUGACGACCGGCGCACGGGUGCGUAACGCGUAUACAACCUACCUUUUAGCGGGGAAUAGCCCAGGGAAACUUGGAUUAAUGCCCCAUAGUAUAUAGACUUCUCCUGAAGUUUAUAUUAAACAUUUAUGGCUAUUAGAUGGGUAUGCGUCCUAUUAGUUAGUUGGUAAGGUAACGGCUUACCAAGGCAGCGAUAGGUAGGGGUCCUGAGAGGGAGAUCCCCACACUGGUACUGAGACACGGACCAGACUCCUACGGGAGGCAGCAGUGAGGAAUAUUGGACAAUGGGCGAGAGCCUGAUCCAGCCAUGCCGCGUGCAGGAAGACUGCCCUAUGGGUUGUAAACUGCUUUUACAGAGGAAGAACCACCCCCACGUGUGGGGGUUUGACGGUACUCUGCGAAUAAGGAUCGGCUAACUCCGUG